Molecule: long non-coding RNA, 389 nt
Organism: Hibiscus syriacus
Lineage: Eukaryota; Viridiplantae; Streptophyta; Magnoliopsida; Malvales; Malvaceae
Exons: 2
Source: RefSeq, a predicted model, not a curated record
GCUUCUUAAAUCCGAGGAGAUAUUGGAGGGGGUGGCGAGACUUCGGAUUUCGAAUAAUAUUGAAUUUGAAGAGCAGAAUUUUAUUGCAACGAUGAAUGAAGCAAGAGAGAGGCGAGCGAAGUUGAAUGCGGGUGCCCUGACUGGCUGACUCUUCCCGUGGGGAUUCGAGCUGAAAAGGCCCUCGAUGCAAUUUAUGUAUGUUGCUUCGGGAGCGAUCCGAUAGAAGACGAAGACAAGAGCUUGCUAGAUAUUAUGCCAAUAGCAGUUUUCCCAACCGUUGAGCAAAAAGAUCAUCAAUGACAAGGCAAUCAAAGUAGCAGAAGGUGGUGAUGAUGCAGACAUUGUUCCAGAACCAAAGUCAUUAUCAAAGGAAGCUGUACAAAUGCAAA